This 576-nucleotide ribosomal RNA is filed under the name Triticum aestivum (bread wheat). RNAcentral describes it as "partial small subunit ribosomal RNA". The record is from RNAcentral. Lineage: Eukaryota; Viridiplantae; Streptophyta; Magnoliopsida; Poales; Poaceae.
AUGCCGAUACGUCAGAUACGCCAUCGAUACGGGUAUCCAUGGAGUAUCCUGUUUUUCGAUUUAAAAAGAAAGAAAAAAAAGGCCGAUACAGCGGCCAGAACGGCGCCGACACGUCGGGGACACGGGAAGCCCAGUACAAGCCCACUCGUAACCCUAAACAGCCAGCGCACUCGAUUCGUUCGGGCGGUAGACUGGAUCGAGUUCGAGUACUCGCGGGCAAGCGCAUCGCCGCGGACGACUGGAGUAGCUCAUCGUCGUCGCCGCCGCCGCCUGAGUCGGUUGUCGCUGCCGGCGUUGGCUGAAGUCGCUCACCGCCGUCUGGGCUCGCCUUGCCUAUGCCGCCGCUGGCCGUCGUCCGGACUCGACCCGCCUCUGCCGCCACCGCCACCGCCCGUCGCUCGUCGCCAGCAUGAUAAUUCCUUCCCUUACACAUUCCCUGCUCUUCUUCGGUGGUGUUCGGUCCUCCCGCACUUGCUUGCUUGCUGCUUUGAUGGUGCCGUGAUGCAGGCGUGUUGGCUGUGUGUGCUUGUUUCGCCAUGCAUGCGUGGCUGUUAUUUAUGUGUGCGUGCUUGCUGA